AUAUUGCACAAUGGGGGAAACCCUGAUGCGGCGACGCCGCUUGAACGAAGUAGGCCUUCGUGUCGUAAAUCACUUUCCUAAGGGAAGAAACGGACGGUACCCUAGGAGGAAGCACCGGCUAACUACGUGCCAGCAGCCGCGGUAAUACGUACGGGGCGAGCGUUAUCCGGAAUUACUGGGCGUAAAGGGUGCGUAGGCGGCCUUUUAAGUCAGAUGUGAAAGGCUACGGCUUAACCGUAGUUAGCAUUUGAAACUAAAAGGCUUGAGUGCAGGAGAGGAGAGUGGAAUUCCUAGUGUAGCGGUGAAAUGCGUAGAUAUUAGGAGGAACACCAGUGGCGAAGGCGACUCUCUGGACUGCAACUGACGCUGAGGCACGAAAGCGUGGGGAGCGAA
RNAcentral lists this ribosomal RNA (393 nucleotides) under uncultured bacterium. RNAcentral's name for it is "partial 16S ribosomal RNA". It matches the Rfam family "Bacterial small subunit ribosomal RNA", at positions 361 to 772 of the family's 1533-position model. The record is from RNAcentral.